ACGCUGGCGGCGUGCCUAACACAUGCAAGUCGAGCGAUCUUCUUCGGAAGAGAGCGGCGGACGGGUGAGUAACGCGUGGGUAACCUGCCCUGUACACACGGAUAACAUACCGAAAGGUAUGCUAAUACGGGAUAACAUAAGAGAGUCGCAUGGCUAUCUUAUCAAAGCUUUUGCGGUACAGGAUGGACCCGCGUCUGAUUAGCUAGUUGGUAAGGUAACGGCUUACCAAGGCGACGAUUAGUAGCCGACCUGAGAGGGUGAUCGGCCACAUUGGAACUGAGACACGGUCCAAACUCCUACGGGAGGCAGCAGUGGGGAAUAUUGCACAAUGGGCGAAAGCCUGAUGCAGCAACGCCGCGUGAGCGAUGAAGGCCUUCGGGUCGUAAAGCUCUGUCCUCAAGGAAGAUAAUGACGGUACUUGAGGAGGAAGCCCCGGCUAACUACGUGCCAGCAGCCGCGGUAAUACGUAGGGGGCUAGCGUUAUCCGGAAUUACUGGGCGUAAAGGGUGCGUGGGCGGUCUUUCAAGUCAGAAGUGAAAGGCUACGGCUCAACCGUAGUAAGCUUUUGAAACUGUAAGACUUGAGUGCAGGAGAGGAGAGUGGAAUUCCUAGUGUAGCGGUGAAAUGCGUAGAUAUUAGGAGGAACACCAGUUGCGAAGGCGGCUCUCUGGACUGUAACUGACGCUGAGGCACGAAAGCG
Molecule: ribosomal RNA, 700 nt
Filed under: uncultured Clostridium sp.
Lineage: Bacteria; Bacillati; Bacillota; Clostridia; Eubacteriales; Clostridiaceae
Description: bacterial SSU rRNA
Rfam family: Bacterial small subunit ribosomal RNA
Source: RNAcentral